AGCCGCUCAGAACUUAAAGGAAUUGACGGGGCCGCACAAGCGGUGGAGCAUGUGGUUUAAUUCGAUGAUACGCGAGGAACCUUACCUGGGCUCAAAUGUAUGUUGACGUAUUCUGAAAGGGAUACUUCUUCGGACAAUAUACAAGGUGCUGCAUGGUUGUCGUCAGCUCGUGCCGUGAGGUGUCGGGUUAAGUCCCAUAACGAGCGCAACCCCUAUCAUUAGUUGCCAUCAGGUCAAGCUGGGGACUCUAAUGAAACUGCCUACGCAAGUAGUGAGGAAGGUGGGGAUGACGUCAAAUCAGCACGGCCCUUACGUCCGGGGCGACACACGUGUUACAAUGGGUGGUACAAAGGGCAGCUACCUGGCGACAGGAUGCUAAUCUCCAAAACCACUCUCAGUUCGGAUCGGAGUCUGCAACUCGACUCCGUGAAGCUGGAUUCGCUAGUAAUCGCGCAUCAGCCACGGCGCGGUGAAUACGUUCCCGGGCCUU
RNAcentral lists this ribosomal RNA (490 nucleotides) under uncultured Sphingobacteriales bacterium. RNAcentral describes it as "bacterial SSU rRNA". It matches the Rfam family "Bacterial small subunit ribosomal RNA", at positions 885 to 1382 of the family's 1533-position model. The record is from RNAcentral. Lineage: Bacteria; Pseudomonadati; Bacteroidota; Sphingobacteriia; Sphingobacteriales.